AUCAGCGGCCGCGGUGCAUCCACUUGCCGGGAGGAACCAAGCUAAGGUCUCUGGUGACUGCUGGCCUGGAUAUGGACCCUGAGACCUGCCCCUGUCCUACUGGUGGUUCCUGCACCUGUUCGGACAAAUGCAAGUGCAAGGGCUGCAAAUGCACCAACUGCAAGAAGAGCUGCUGCUCCUGCUGCCCUGCAGGAUGUGAGAAGUGUGCCAAGGACUGUGUGUGCAAAGGUGAAGAGGGGGCCAAGGCAGAAGUGGAGAAAUGCAGCUGCUGCCAGUGAGAACUCAGUCCCUCCCACACAGCCUAUGCAGAUAGUGCUGGGG
Molecule: long non-coding RNA, 321 nt
Organism: Acomys russatus (golden spiny mouse)
Lineage: Eukaryota; Metazoa; Chordata; Mammalia; Rodentia; Muridae
Exons: 3
Source: RefSeq, a predicted model, not a curated record